AGCUCAGUCGGUAGCGCAUCCCAUUCGCGUACGCGUGGUCCCGGGUUCGAUUCCUGGCU
This 59-nucleotide transfer RNA is filed under the name Chromera velia. Lineage: Eukaryota; Chromeraceae. The record is from RNAcentral.